RNAcentral lists this ribosomal RNA (806 nucleotides) under uncultured organism. Its description in RNAcentral is "SSU rRNA". It matches the Rfam family "Bacterial small subunit ribosomal RNA", at positions 28 to 803 of the family's 1533-position model. The record is from RNAcentral.
GACGAACGCUGGCGGCGUGCUUAACACAUGCAAGUCGAACGAAGAGCGAUGGAAGCUUUGCUUCUAUCAAUCUUAGUGGCGAACGGGUGAGUAACGCGUAAUCAACCUGCCCUUCAGAGGGGGACAACAGUUGGAAACGACUGCUAAUACCGCAUACGAUCUAACCUCGGCAUCGAGGAUAGAUGAAAGGUGGCCUCUAUUUAUAAGCUAUCACUGAAGGAGGGGAUUGCGUCUGAUUAGCUAGUUGGAGGGGUAACAGCCCACCAAGGCGAUGAUCAGUAGCCGGUCUGAGAGGAUGAACGGCCACAUUGGGACUGAGACACGGCCCAGACUCCUACGGGAGGCAGCAGUGGGGAAUCUUCCGCAAUGGACGAAAGUCUGACGGAGCAACGCCGCGUGAGUGAUGACGGCCUUCGGGUUGUAAAGCUCUGUUAAUCGGGACGAAAGGCCUUCUUGCGAAUAGUUAGAAGGAUUGACGGUACCGGAAUAGAAAGCCACGGCUAACUACGUGCCAGCAGCCGCGGUAAUACGUAGGUGGCAAGCGUUGUCCGGAAUUAUUGGGCGUAAAGCGCGCGCAGGCGGAUUGGUCAGUCUGUCUUAAAAGUUCGGGGCUUAACCCCGUGAUGGGAUGGAAACUGCCAAUCUAGAGUAUCGGAGAGGAAAGUGGAAUUCCUAGUGUAGCGGUGAAAUGCGUAGAUAUUAGGAAGAACACCAGUGGCGAAGGCGACUUUCUGGACGAAAACUGACGCUGAGGCGCGAAAGCCAGGGGAGCGAACGGGAUUAGAUACCCCGGUGGUCCUGGCCGU